Molecule: long non-coding RNA, 1017 nt
Filed under: Heterocephalus glaber (naked mole-rat)
Lineage: Eukaryota; Metazoa; Chordata; Mammalia; Rodentia; Bathyergidae
Description: lncRNA (ENSHGLG00000039533.1)
Source: RNAcentral
GCUUCUUGCCAUCAGGUCUGAGGAGAAUGCUUGCUCACUGGGAGUCUCCUGUUGGCAGUGUGCAUUUCCAAUUCCUGGUGACCGUGUUUCUGUGUCUGUGACCUGAAUCUGCUCUACCGUCUGCGGGGUCCCGGUGUCCUCUCCUCAUCCCCGAAGCCUCACAAGCAGAGGGGAGUGACGCUGCUCAUCAGAUGGACAAUGACUCUGUGCCCUCCGGGGGCCCCACAGGAUCAUGGGUCCUGAGAACAGAAGAGGUGGACAGGGGGACCUGGAGAGCUGCCAUGCUGAGAGGACCAGGAGAGGGCCAGGAGAGGGCCAGGAGAGGGCCAUGGGCACAGCGGCGCAGCACAGGUGCCCCCAGCAGCUGGCAAAGGCCCAGAAACAGGCCCCGGCCUCCACACCUCAGGCUCAGGCCUCCACUGGGGUCGGACCGCUGACUCCACACAGUGCCGCAGGAUGCUGGGUGACACUAAGCUGCCACAAACCUCACUGCGGGCCGGGCGGGCUGGGGGCCCACUGGCCCCCGGUGCUUGCAAUGCUGGCUCUGCGUGUGGUUUUGCUCGUCCCUUUAUCACAGCCUCGAAGUCAGGAUGGCCCCGUUCAGACUUCUGCUGCAGGGCAGCGGUGUGAGGGUGCUGGCCUCCUUUUCUCCUGCGCGUGUGCUGGGUGUGGGCAGACAUUGUUGAGGUAGAAGCAGCCAGACAGUAGCAUGUUUUCCAGAAUCCAACAAGAGAACCUGCGCAGGAGGAGGAGGAGAACACGCAGGGGCUCCAGGCAGUUGUGGUGUGGCUGGACGGAUCAAAAUGACGGCAGGACAAUCUACUCUGUCACUGCGGACAUUUCUGGCUCAUGGACACUUGCAGCAUGUUUUCAGGCCUUCCAAAAUUUGGAUCACACUUACGCGUACUGUUUUCUGGCUUGAUCUUAGAAAUGGAAUCUCUUGGGAGCAGAGCUCCAUGACCACAGUGAGGGUUAAGACAGCUCGUGGCCACCGGGUUUUGAUGCUGCGGACAGUCA